Long non-coding RNA from Mesocricetus auratus (golden hamster), 469 nucleotides. RefSeq lists it as uncharacterized. The transcript is spliced from 2 exons. The record is from RefSeq and is a predicted model, not a curated record. NCBI's taxonomy places the organism in Eukaryota, Metazoa, Chordata, Mammalia, Rodentia, Cricetidae.
AUCUUCUAGAAGCCUCAUCUGCUGAUUCCCAAUCCGGAGAACUUCCAUUUUCACCUUUCAGAUGUUGGCAUCUCAGGCCUCGGAACAGCCUAGAGUGAUUGCUGGGACACCAGUGGGCAAAUGGCCAAGAUCUGAGAAGAAAGACCCCCGUAAGCUUGAAGGCAGGCCACAAUGGGAGGCAGUGAGAGCCCUGUCGAGCACCUGACCACCCUCCAAGACUGAGAUGUCCCUGCUCCCACAAUCAUUAGCCCACUCUUACUGGAUUACUACUGGACUUUGAAGGAUUCUAUUUAUUAUUGUUGUUAUUAUAAUUUUGCUUAUAAUAUAAUUAUGAUCCAUGUAAUGGAUCCUUGACAACACUUUCCACGGCGUAUCAGCAAAGUUCCCAGCCACUAGCUUCUGGGGGACAGAAGCUGUGCUUUUUAUAAGAUGUCAUCCCGAGAGACAUUAAAGCCCCUGGAAUCCUGGA